RNAcentral lists this ribosomal RNA (482 nucleotides) under uncultured bacterium. RNAcentral's name for it is "partial 16S ribosomal RNA". It matches the Rfam family "Bacterial small subunit ribosomal RNA", at positions 32 to 507 of the family's 1533-position model. The record is from RNAcentral.
AUUCAACGCUGGCGGCAUGCCUUACACAUGCAAGUCGAACGGUAACGGGCCUUCGGGUGCCGACGAGUGGCGAACGGGUGAGUAAUACAUCGGAACGUGCCCGAUCGUGGGGGAUAACGAGGCGAAAGCUUUGCUAAUACCGCAUACGAUCUACGGAUGAAAGCAGGGGACCGCAAGGCCUUGCGCGGACGGAGCGGCCGAUGGCAGAUUAGGUAGUUGGUGGGAUAAAAGCUUACCAAGCCGACGAUCUGUAGCUGGUCUGAGAGGAUGAUCAGCCACACUGGGACUGAGACACGGCCCAGACUCCUACGGGAGGCAGCAGUGGGGAAUUUUGGACAAUGGGCGCAAGCCUGAUCCAGCCAUGCCGCGUGCAGGAUGAAGGCCUUCGGGUUGUAAAAUGCUUUUGUACGGAACGAAAAGCCUUCUUUUAAUACAGGAGGGUCAUGACGGUACCGUAAGAAUAAGCACCGGCUAACUACGUG